Durio zibethinus is the source of this 975-nucleotide non-coding RNA. Lineage: Eukaryota; Viridiplantae; Streptophyta; Magnoliopsida; Malvales; Malvaceae. The record is from RefSeq and is a predicted model, not a curated record.
UCUAAUUUAGUAGUAAUAAAUUUAUUUCUUCCUUUUUAAAAUCCUACUUUUCUCAGCCACCCUUCCUGCCUGCCUCACGACGGUUUCUUCUUCUCCGUGUUCCUCUCCCCAUCACGAGUCACGACUAUUCAAGGUUUAUCAUAACAAAUCUGAGAAUAGUCGAGGAAAAAUAAACACCAAUUUUCUAAUGGCCUCUAGGGUUUCACUAAAGAGCAAAGCCAAAGGAGGGAAGGGAUCCAAAGGCUUGGAUGAGAAAUCAACUGCACAGUGCUUGAAAGAGUGGAGCACAUGGGCUCUGAAGAAGGCCAAAGUGGUAACUCACUAUGGCUUCAUUCCUCUGGUGAUCAUCAUUGGCAUGAACUCUGAUCCCAAGCCCCAACUUUAUCAACUGCUAAGCCCUGUCUGAUUCAUUUGUCUCUUUUGUAACCACCCAGAUCUUAGUUUUGCACUUUUAUGUAAUGGAUUGGUGCCUAUCCAUCCAAACUACAUGAAGACUGGGCAAGUGAGGGGCUUUGUUAGUUUAGUAUUAAACGGUGAACUUUGAGGACUCAACUUCUGUUACAGAUUAUCAGUUAACAUGUCUCUUCCUUUUGAUUUGUGUAACAAUCGAAUAACUUGGUUCCUUUAAUGGAGGUGGAGGUGAGUUAGCAACAGGGUUUUGAUCUGAUCAGAGGUGAGAUAGCUGUCUUGUUAUGCUCCAAAACAGUGUAGCUGCCAGAAGAUCUCUCUUUGUUUUAUAUGCUUACUAUGAUGAGAAUAUGGGUUUGGCAUGCAGCAGAGGCAGUUCCUACGAAUUUCCAUACAAUGAUGCUUUUAUAUGGAUGAAGUGAAACUGGUUUUCUCUUAAUCUACCGAGACUGUUAUUUACAAGAUAUUGGACCUUUUAUUUUUCGGAAAAGGUUUAAAAAUUGACAGUUUACUCCCUCUAUGGUUAUUUCUGAGUAUUAAUUCUCAUCAAAUUAACAUAUCAUUAUU